GUGAAAUGAUGAUUCAGUUUAUCCAUUCGCUGAGUGCGCUGAACUGACCUCUUUCCAGGCCUGGGUUCCUGUUCUAGGAACUAAGGCUAUGUAGCUAUCAAAUGCCCUGCAGUCUUGCUGUGUUCUACAGUGGAUAGCUGUGCUUUGGUAGACUAUUGGUAAGAAUAGUUGGUGUCAGCAGAGAUGAGUUCCUGAGUCUCAUCUCACCAAGAUGAAUGGUGGAAAUCUGAUCAC
This is a small nucleolar RNA of Echinops telfairi (small Madagascar hedgehog), 234 nucleotides long. RefSeq annotates it as small nucleolar RNA SNORD17. The transcript has a single exon. NCBI's taxonomy places the organism in Eukaryota, Metazoa, Chordata, Mammalia, Afrosoricida, Tenrecidae. The record is from RefSeq and is a predicted model, not a curated record.